GAUUUUAUAUUUCAUCUGAUAGACUGUCAGAUUAUUAAUCCAAAGGCUGCUAGUUCAAAUCCUGCUAAGAUCC
This 73-nucleotide transfer RNA is filed under the name Trichobilharzia regenti. It matches the Rfam family "tRNA". Rfam says of the family: Transfer RNA (tRNA) molecules are approximately 80 nucleotides in length. Their secondary structure includes four short double-helical elements and three loops (D, anti-codon, and T loops). The record is from Rfam by way of RNAcentral. Lineage: Eukaryota; Metazoa; Platyhelminthes; Trematoda; Strigeidida; Schistosomatidae.